GAUGAACGCUGGCGGCGUGCCUAAUACAUGCAAGUCGAGCGAACGGACGAGAAGCUUGCUUUUCUGAUGUUAGCGGCGGACGGGUGAGUAACACGUGGAUAACCUACCUAUAAGACUGGGAUAACUUCGGGAAACCGGAGCUAAUACCGGAUAAUAUUUUGAACCGCAUGGUUCAAAAGUGAAAGACGGUCUUGCUGUCACUUAUAGAUGGAUCCGCGCUGCAUUAGCUAGUUGGUAAGGUAACGGCUUACCAAGGCAACGAUGCAUAGCCGACCUGAGAGGGUGAUCGGCCACACUGGAACUGAGACACGGUCCAGACUCCUACGGGAGGCAGCAGUAGGGAAUCUUCCGCAAUGGGCCAAAGCCUGACGGAGCAACGCCGCGUGAGUGAUGAAGGUCUUCGGAUCGUAAAACUCUGUUAUUAGGGAAGAACAUAUGUGUAAGUAACUGUGCACAUCUUGACGGUACCUAAUCAGAAAGCCACGGCUAACUACGUG
Molecule: ribosomal RNA, 497 nt
Filed under: uncultured bacterium
Lineage: Bacteria
Description: partial 16S ribosomal RNA
Rfam family: Bacterial small subunit ribosomal RNA
Source: RNAcentral